Molecule: long non-coding RNA, 401 nt
Filed under: Homo sapiens (human)
Lineage: Eukaryota; Metazoa; Chordata; Mammalia; Primates; Hominidae
Description: LHRI_LNC1032.1
Source: RNAcentral
CGAUUCCUCAAGGAUCUAGAACUAGAAUUACUGUUUGACCCAGCAAUCCCAUUACUGGGUAUAUACCCAAAGAAUUAUAAAUCAUGCUGCUAUAAAGACACAUGCACAUGUAUGUUUAUUGCAGCACUAUUCACAAUAGCAAAGACUUGGAACCAACCCAAAUGUCCAUCAAUGAUAGACUGGAUUAAGAAAAUGUGGCACAUAUACACCAUGGAAUACUAUGCAGCCAUAAAAAAGGAUGAGUUCGUGUCCUUUGCAGGGACAUGGAUGAAGCUGGAAACCAUCAUUCUGAGCAAACUAUCACAAGAACAGAAAAAAAACACUGUAUGUUCUCUCUAAUAGGUGGGCAUUGAACAAUGAGAUCACUUGGACACAGGGCAGGGAACAUCCACACACCAGGG